This 566-nucleotide ribosomal RNA is filed under the name uncultured bacterium. RNAcentral's name for it is "partial 16S ribosomal RNA". It matches the Rfam family "Bacterial small subunit ribosomal RNA", at positions 355 to 939 of the family's 1533-position model. The record is from RNAcentral.
UGGGGAAUAUUGCACAAUGGGCGAAAGCCUGAUGCAGCAACGCCGCGUGAGUGAUGAAGGCCUUCGGGUUGUAAAGCUCUGUCUUUUGGGACGAUAAUGACGGUACCAAAGGAGGAAGCCACGGCUAACUACGUGCCAGCAGCCGCGGUAAUACGUAGGUGGCAAGCGUUGUCCGGAUUUACUGGGCGUAAAGGAUGCGUAGGCGGAUUUUUAAGUGAGAUGUGAAAUGCCCGGGCUUAACUUGGGUGCUGCAUUUCAAACUGGGAAUCUAGAGUGCGGGAGAGGAGAAUGGAAUUCCUAGUGUAGCGGUGAAAAUGCGUAGAGAUUAGGAAGAACACCAGUGGCGAAGGCGAUUCUCUGGACCGUAACUGACGCUGAGGCAUGAAAGCGUGGGUAGCAAACAGGGUUAGAUACCCUGGUAGUCCACGCCGUAAACGAUGAGUACUAGGUGUAGGAGGUAUCGACCCCUUCUGUGCCGCAGUUAACACAAUAAGUACUCCGCCUGGGAAGUACGAUCGCAAGAUUAAAAACUUAAAUGAAUUGACGGGGGUCAUAGCUGUUUUCCU